GCAGAUGUGGCCGAGUGGUUAAGGCGACUGACUCGGAAUCAGUUUCCAUUUGGGAGCGUUGGUUUGAAUCCUACCAUCUGCG
Daphnia carinata is the source of this 82-nucleotide non-coding RNA. The record is from the annotation of a RefSeq genome assembly. Lineage: Eukaryota; Metazoa; Arthropoda; Branchiopoda; Diplostraca; Daphniidae.